This 229-nucleotide ribosomal RNA is filed under the name uncultured bacterium. Its description in RNAcentral is "partial 16S ribosomal RNA". It matches the Rfam family "Bacterial small subunit ribosomal RNA", at positions 568 to 796 of the family's 1533-position model. The record is from RNAcentral.
UGCGUAGGCGGAUUAAUAAGUCAGUGGUGAAAACCUACAGCUUAACUGUAGAACUGCCAUUGAUACUGUUAGUCUUGAGUACGGUCAAGGUAGGCGGAAUGUGUAAUGUAGCGGUGAAAUGCUUAGAUAUUACACAGAACACCGAUUGCGAAGGCAGCUUACUGGGCCAUUACUGACGCUGAGGCACGAAAGCGUGGGUAGCGAACAGGAUUAGAUACCCUGGUAGUCC